Molecule: transfer RNA, 63 nt
Filed under: bacterium
Lineage: Bacteria
Description: tRNA-Val
Source: RNAcentral
GGGUGAAGUUAGAGCACUGCAUUCACAUUGCAAGGGUCAGUGGUUCGAGUCCACUAUCAUCCA